Molecule: ribosomal RNA, 1346 nt
Filed under: uncultured bacterium
Lineage: Bacteria
Description: bacterial SSU rRNA
Rfam family: Bacterial small subunit ribosomal RNA
Source: RNAcentral
GACGAACGCUGGCGGCGUGCUUAACACAUGCAAGUCGAACGGAAAGGCCCUGCUUUUGUGGGGUGCUCGAGUGGCGAACGGGUGAGUAACACGUGAGUAACCUGCCCUUGACUUUGGGAUAACUUCAGGAAACUGGGGCUAAUACCGGAUAGGAGCUCCUGCUGCAUGGUGGGGGUUGGAAAGUUUCGGCGGUUGGGGAUGGACUCGCGGCUUAUCAGCUUGUUGGUGGGGUAGUGGCUUACCAAGGCUUUGACGGGUAGCCGGCCUGAGAGGGUGACCGGCCACAUUGGGACUGAGAUACGGCCCAGACUCCUACGGGAGGCAGCAGUGGGGAAUAUUGCACAAUGGGCGGAAGCCUGAUGCAGCAACGCCGCGUGCGGGAUGACGGCCUUCGGGUUGUAAACCGCUUUCGCCUGUGACGAAGCGUGAGUGACGGUAAUGGGUAAAGAAGCACCGGCUAACUACGUGCCAGCAGCCGCGGUGAUACGUAGGGUGCGAGCGUUGUCCAGAUUUAUUGGGCGUAAAGGGCUCGUAGGUGGUUGAUCGCGUCGGAAGUGUAAUCUUGGGGCUUAACCCUGAGCGUGCUUUCGAUACGGGUUGACUUGAGGAAGGUAGGGGAGAAUGGAAUUCCUGGUGGAGCGGUGGAAUGCGCAGAUAUCAGGAGGAACACCAGUGGCGAAGGCGGUUCUCUGGGCCUUUCCUGACGCUGAGGAGCGAAAGCGUGGGGAGCGAACAGGCUUAGAUACCCUGGUAGUCCACGCUGUAAACGGUGGGUACUAGGUGUGGGGUCCAUUCCACGGGUUCCGUGCCGUAGCUAACGCUUUAAGUACCCCGCCUGGGGAGUACGGCCGCAAGGCUAAAACUCAAAGGAAUUGACGGGGCCCCGCACAAGCGGCGGAGCAUGCGGAUUAAUUCGAUGCAACGCGUAGAACCUUACCUGGGUUUGACAUGGAUCGGGAGUGCUCAGAGAUGGGUGUGCCUCUUUUGGGGUCGGUUCACAGGUGGUGCAUGCCUGUCGUCAGCUCGUGUCGUGAGAUGUUGGGUUAAGUCCCGCAACGAGCGCAACCCUUGUUCACUGUUGCCAGCACGUUAUGGUGGGGACUCAGUGGAGACCGCCGGGGUCAACUCGGAGGAAGGUGGGGAUGACGUCAAGUCCUCAUGCCCCUUAUGUCCAGGGCUUCACGCAUGCUACAAUGGCUGGUACAGAGAGUGGCGAGCCUGUGAGGGUGAGCGAAUCUCGGAAAGCCGGUCUCAGUUCGGAUUGGGGUCUGCAACUCGACCUCAUGAAGUCGGAGUCGCUAGUAAUCGCAGAUCAGCAACGCUGCGGUGAAUACGUUCCCGGGGCU